RNAcentral lists this ribosomal RNA (2921 nucleotides) under Staphylococcus aureus DAR5894. Its description in RNAcentral is "bacterial LSU rRNA". It matches the Rfam family "Bacterial large subunit ribosomal RNA". Lineage: Bacteria; Bacillati; Bacillota; Bacilli; Caryophanales; Staphylococcaceae. The record is from RNAcentral.
UUAAGUUAUUAAGGGCGCACGGUGGAUGCCUUGGCACUAGAAGCCGAUGAAGGACGUUACUAACGACGAUAUGCUUUGGGGAGCUGUAAGUAAGCUUUGAUCCAGAGAUUUCCGAAUGGGGAAACCCAGCAUGAGUUAUGUCAUGUUAUCGAUAUGUGAAUACAUAGCAUAUCAGAAGGCACACCCGGAGAACUGAAACAUCUUAGUACCCGGAGGAAGAGAAAGAAAAUUCGAUUCCCUUAGUAGCGGCGAGCGAAACGGGAAGAGCCCAAACCAACAAGCUUGCUUGUUGGGGUUGUAGGACACUCUAUACGGAGUUACAAAGGACGACAUUAGACGAAUCAUCUGGAAAGAUGAAUCAAAGAAGGUAAUAAUCCUGUAGUCGAAAAUGUUGUCUCUCUUGAGUGGAUCCUGAGUACGACGGAGCACGUGAAAUUCCGUCGGAAUCUGGGAGGACCAUCUCCUAAGGCUAAAUACUCUCUAGUGACCGAUAGUGAACCAGUACCGUGAGGGAAAGGUGAAAAGCACCCCGGAAGGAGAGUGAAAUAGAACCUGAAACCGUGUGCUUACAAGUAGUCAGAGCCCGUUAAUGGGUGAUGGCGUGCCUUUUGUAGAAUGAACCGGCGAGUUACGAUUUGAUGCAAGGUUAAGCAGUAAAUGUGGAGCCGUAGCGAAAGCGAGUCUGAAUAGGGCGUUUAGUAUUUGGUCGUAGACCCGAAACCAGGUGAUCUACCCUUGGUCAGGUUGAAGUUCAGGUAACACUGAAUGGAGGACCGAACCGACUUACGUUGAAAAGUGAGCGGAUGAACUGAGGGUAGCGGAGAAAUUCCAAUCGAACCUGGAGAUAGCUGGUUCUCUCCGAAAUAGCUUUAGGGCUAGCCUCAAGUGAUGAUUAUUGGAGGUAGAGCACUGUUUGGACGAGGGGCCCCUCUCGGGUUACCGAAUUCAGACAAACUCCGAAUGCCAAUUAAUUUAACUUGGGAGUCAGAACAUGGGUGAUAAGGUCCGUGUUCGAAAGGGAAACAGCCCAGACCACCAGCUAAGGUCCUAAAAUAUAUGUUAAGUGGAAAAGGAUGUGGCGUUGCCCAGACAACUAGGAUGUUGGCUUAGAAGCAGCCAUCAUUUAAAGAGUGCGUAAUAGCUCACUAGUCGAGUGACACUGCGCCGAAAAUGUACCGGGGCUAAACAUAUUACCGAAGCUGUGGAUUGUCCUUUGGACAAUGGUAGGAGAGCGUUCUAAGGGCGUUGAAGCAUGAUCGUAAGGACAUGUGGAGCGCUUAGAAGUGAGAAUGCCGGUGUGAGUAGCGAAAGACGGGUGAGAAUCCCGUCCACCGAUUGACUAAGGUUUCCAGAGGAAGGCUCGUCCGCUCUGGGUUAGUCGGGUCCUAAGCUGAGGCCGACAGGCGUAGGCGAUGGAUAACAGGUUGAUAUUCCUGUACCACCUAUAAUCGUUUUAAUCGAUGGGGGGACGCAGUAGGAUAGGCGAAGCGUGCGAUUGGAUUGCACGUCUAAGCAGUAAGGCUGAGUAUUAGGCAAAUCCGGUACUCGUUAAGGCUGAGCUGUGAUGGGGAGAAGACAUUGAGUCUUCGAGUCGUUGAUUUCACACUGCCGAGAAAAGCCUCUAGAUAGAAAAUAGGUGCCCGUACCGCAAACCGACACAGGUAGUCAAGAUGAGAAUUCUAAGGUGAGCGAGCGAACUCUCGUUAAGGAACUCGGCAAAAUGACCCCGUAACUUCGGGAGAAGGGGUGCUCUUUAGGGUUAACGCCCAGAAGAGCCGCAGUGAAUAGGCCCAAGCGACUGUUUAUCAAAAACACAGGUCUCUGCUAAACCGUAAGGUGAUGUAUAGGGGCUGACGCCUGCCCGGUGCUGGAAGGUUAAGAGGAGUGGUUAGCUUCUGCGAAGCUACGAAUCGAAGCCCCAGUAAACGGCGGCCGUAACUAUAACGGUCCUAAGGUAGCGAAAUUCCUUGUCGGGUAAGUUCCGACCCGCACGAAAGGCGUAACGAUUUGGGCACUGUCUCAACGAGAGACUCGGUGAAAUCAUAGUACCUGUGAAGAUGCAGGUUACCCGCGACAGGACGGAAAGACCCCGUGGAGCUUUACUGUAGCCUGAUAUUGAAAUUCGGCACAGCUUGUACAGGAUAGGUAGGAGCCUUUGAAACGUGAGCGCUAGCUUACGUGGAGGCGCUGGUGGGAUACUACCCUAGCUGUGUUGGCUUUCUAACCCGCACCACUUAUCGUGGUGGGAGACAGUGUCAGGCGGGCAGUUUGACUGGGGCGGUCGCCUCCUAAAAGGUAACGGAGGCGCUCAAAGGUUCCCUCAGAAUGGUUGGAAAUCAUUCAUAGAGUGUAAAGGCAUAAGGGAGCUUGACUGCGAGACCUACAAGUCGAGCAGGGUCGAAAGACGGACUUAGUGAUCCGGUGGUUCCGCAUGGAAGGGCCAUCGCUCAACGGAUAAAAGCUACCCCGGGGAUAACAGGCUUAUCUCCCCCAAGAGUUCACAUCGACGGGGAGGUUUGGCACCUCGAUGUCGGCUCAUCGCAUCCUGGGGCUGUAGUCGGUCCCAAGGGUUGGGCUGUUCGCCCAUUAAAGCGGUACGCGAGCUGGGUUCAGAACGUCGUGAGACAGUUCGGUCCCUAUCCGUCGUGGGCGUAGGAAAUUUGAGAGGAGCUGUCCUUAGUACGAGAGGACCGGGAUGGACAUACCUCUGGUGUACCAGUUGUCGUGCCAACGGCAUAGCUGGGUAGCUAUGUGUGGACGGGAUAAGUGCUGAAAGCAUCUAAGCAUGAAGCCCCCCUCAAGAUGAGAUUUCCCAACUUCGGUUAUAAGAUCCCUCAAAGAUGAUGAGGUUAAUAGGUUCGAGGUGGAAGCAUGGUGACAUGUGGAGCUGACGAAUACUAAUCGAUCGAAGACUUAAUCAA